Molecule: long non-coding RNA, 744 nt
Filed under: Rattus norvegicus (Norway rat)
Lineage: Eukaryota; Metazoa; Chordata; Mammalia; Rodentia; Muridae
Description: long non-coding RNA NONRATT026315
Source: RNAcentral
AGAGACGAGCUAUAAGAGAGACGUUCUUCCGCUGUAGCUCUGUCGGUCUGCAACCCUCCCGGCCUGAUCCCCUCUAAACUCAGCAGUGGGAGCAGAGCCAUGGUCCUCUCUGGCUCUCUUCUAAACAUAGCUCUCCACCCCUUACCCCCAGCAGACGGUUUCCAUGGGGAAGUGAACCGGGACUUCCCUUGCAAGCCACGCCCUGAAACCAGACGUAGGAGUUGGGAGGUGGCUUCUCUGCCUCCCCCCCACAAAAAAACCUCUUGGUGAUUUCCUCCUGGUAGGAGGAGACCUUGGUCACCACAGCUAUCACAGUUUGCAGAUCUCGUCACAUCUCUUCUCCUCCUAUCUCCAAGGACCAUGACCCUGGGGAUUUUCCGAAGGGUCUUUUUGAUGCUGUCGGUGGCCUUGGGCCUAACUAAGGGAGACUUGGUGAAGCCCUCCAGGGGUCAGCUGGUAAACUGCACUUGUGAGAACCCACACUGCAAGAGGCCAAUCUGCCAGGGGGCAUGGUGCACAGUGGUGCUAGUUCGAGAGCAGGGCAGGCACCCCCAGGUCUAUCGGGGCUGCGGGAGCCUGAACCAGGAGCUCUGCCUGGGACGUCCCACGGAGUUUGUGAACCAUCACUGCUGCUAUAGAUCCUUCUGCAACCACAAUGUGUCCCUGAUGCUGGAGGCCACCCAAACUCCUUCGGAGGAGCCAGAAGUAGAUGCCCAUCUGCCUCUGAUCCUGGGUCCCGUGCUG